GAUGAACGCUAGCGGCAGGCUUAAUACAUGCAAGUCGAGGGGCAGCACGGUUAGCAAUAACUGGUGGCGACCGGCGCACGGGUGCGUAACACGUAUACAAUCUACCUUAAACAGGGGAUAGCCUUUCGAAAGAGAGAUUAAUACCCCGUAAUAAAUUGAACGGCAUCGUUUGAUUUUGAAAGCUCCGGCGGUUUGAGAUGAGUAUGCGUCUGAUUAGCUAGUUGGUGAGGUAACGGCUCACCAAGGCGACGAUCAGUAGGGGAUCUGAGAGGACUAACCCCCACACUGGUACUGAGACACGGACCAGACUCCUACGGGAGGCAGCAGUAAGGAAUAUUGGUCAAUGGAGGCAACUCUGAACCAGCCAUGCCGCGUGCAGGAUGACGGCCCUAUGGGUUGUAAACUGCUUUUAUACAAGAGAAAACCCUGGUACGUGUACCAGGUUGAUAGUAUUGUAAGAAUAAGCAUCGGCUAACUUUCGUGCCAGCAGCCGCGGUAAU
Molecule: ribosomal RNA, 500 nt
Filed under: uncultured bacterium
Lineage: Bacteria
Description: bacterial SSU rRNA
Rfam family: Bacterial small subunit ribosomal RNA
Source: RNAcentral